Molecule: ribosomal RNA, 244 nt
Filed under: uncultured bacterium
Lineage: Bacteria
Description: partial 16S ribosomal RNA
Rfam family: Bacterial small subunit ribosomal RNA
Source: RNAcentral
GACGGAGGAUGCAAGUGUUAUCCGGAAUCACUGGGCGUAAAGCGUCUGUAGGUGGUUUCAAAAGUCCACUGUUAAAGAUUGAAGCUUAACUUCAAAAAUGCCGUGGAAACUUUGAAACUUGAGUAUGAUAGGGGUAGAGGGAAUUUCCAGUGGAGCGGUGAAAUGCGUAGAUAUUGGAAAGACCACCAAUGGCGAAGGCACUCUACUGGGCCAUUACUGACACUGAGAGACGAAAGCUAGGGGG